CAACACCGGGAAAAACACCACGUCCUCACAUAGUAAGGAGUGACAGAUUGAGAGGUCUUUUUUGAUUAUAUGGGGGGUGGUGCAGCGCCGCUGUUAGUUGGUGGAGGGAUUAUUCUGGUUAAUUCCGUUAACGAACGAGACCCCAACCCCCUAAAUAGUUACCCCAACGUUUGUUGGUCGUCAACUUCUUAGAGGGACUAUUGACUAUUAGUCAAUGGAAGUUUGAGGCAAUAACAGGUCUGUGAUGCCCUAGAUGUUUUGGGCCGCACGCGCGCUACCAUGAUCAAGUCAACGAGUUUACAACCUUGGCCGGAAGGUCCGGGUAAUCUUUUGAAACUCGAUCGUGCUGGGGAUAGUCCAUUGCAGUUAUUGGUCUUCAACGAGGAAUUCCUAGUAAGCGCGAGUCAUCAGCUCGCGUUGAUUACGUCCCUGCCCUUUGUACACACCGCCCGUCGGUACUACCGAUUGAAUGGCUUAGUGAGGCUUCCGGACUGGCCCAG
This 500-nucleotide ribosomal RNA is filed under the name uncultured eukaryote. RNAcentral describes it as "bacterial SSU rRNA". It matches the Rfam family "Eukaryotic small subunit ribosomal RNA", at positions 1201 to 1723 of the family's 1831-position model. The record is from RNAcentral.